AUGACUCAGCCUCUUCUCCACAGAAAGGAGCACAACGGCAGUUGGGCCGCUUUUUGGACACUACAGAGAGAUCGGGAGCCAAGGAGAAGGGCAGUUUUACGGCAGGAGUUGGAGUGUACGACCCAAGGGAGUCACCGAGGGAAUCGGGGGGAGUCACAUCUUUCUGGGGCAAACGCAGGACCGAUGGUCCUAGCCAGAUCAUCGGGGCGAGGAUUUAUUUUCCGAGACCCGGCCUGCAGAAUUGGAGCUGGAAGCCAGAAGUUGCGGACUCCCAAGGCUGGAAAAUCAGCACUGCCGCUCUCCGCCUUCACAGCCUGAGGAGAGAGCUGCUGCCCCAUCGCUGAGACGGGAAGAGCGAGGCCGCUCCGCUCCCAGAGUCACCACAGCUCUCCGAGAGGGGCUAGGGCAAGGAACGGAUCGGUGGACCGGCCUCUCUGAGACCCUCCCACCUUCCCUGCUGCUGCCGUUGAGCUCUUGCCGGGAGGAUCAGGGGUAACAGAGCCGACACUGGCUGGAUUCAGUCGCCGGAGCCAACGCCGGAAGUUGGACCCGCAGCGGUCAAGCUUAUCACGGUGCAGCCACGAGCAGCAGCCUCUCGUGGGAAUCGCCAUUUGAACUAGGCAGGAGUCUGUCCUGGAGCCGGGCCCCGGCUCCCCUGAAGCUAACAGUCCCAGGGUAAGGAGCGGAAUUGGGCCCGCCCUGAUUGUCUUGGAUCCACCUCAGUCCUUGGCCCACAGUUAAGUGCUUAAUAAAAUAUCACAUUUAUUUGCUAGGAAACGUGUCUUGCUUUGGUUGUACUCUCCCAAGUGCUAAGUACUCAAUAAGUGCUCAUUAAAUAC
RNAcentral lists this long non-coding RNA (839 nucleotides) under Ornithorhynchus anatinus (platypus). Its description in RNAcentral is "lncRNA (ENSOANG00000048605.1)". The record is from RNAcentral. Lineage: Eukaryota; Metazoa; Chordata; Mammalia; Monotremata; Ornithorhynchidae.